RNAcentral lists this microRNA precursor (164 nucleotides) under Oryza meridionalis. RNAcentral's name for it is "MIR812 microRNA precursor family". It matches the Rfam family "MIR812 microRNA precursor family", at positions 27 to 192 of the family's 205-position model. Lineage: Eukaryota; Viridiplantae; Streptophyta; Magnoliopsida; Poales; Poaceae. The record is from Rfam by way of RNAcentral.
UUGAACUUGAACCGUUCGUCUUAUUUGAAUUAUUUUAUAAUUAUUUUUUUUAUUAUUAUAUAAUAAAACAUAAACAAUACUUUAUGUGUAACUUAUUUUUUUAUUUCUUUUUCAUAAAAUUUUCAAAUAAGACGGAUGAUUAAACGUUAGACAUGAAUACCCAU